Molecule: small nuclear RNA, 166 nt
Filed under: Suricata suricatta (meerkat)
Lineage: Eukaryota; Metazoa; Chordata; Mammalia; Carnivora; Herpestidae
Description: U4 spliceosomal RNA (ENSSSUG00005021411.1)
Rfam family: U4 spliceosomal RNA (bases 1-73)
Source: RNAcentral
AGCUUUGCGCAGUGGCAGUAUCAUAGUCAAUGAGGUUUAUCCGAGGUGCAAUUAUUGCUAAUUGAAACAAAACGUGAAGAAGAGAGGAGAAAGAAAUGGGUUCAGACUUAAAUGAACAUCAACUUACUAUAGAGUGCUAUUUGUAGAAGAGGUUAUACACAAACCU